Molecule: ribosomal RNA, 482 nt
Filed under: uncultured bacterium
Lineage: Bacteria
Description: partial 16S ribosomal RNA
Rfam family: Bacterial small subunit ribosomal RNA
Source: RNAcentral
AUUGAACGCUGGCGGCAUGCUUUACACAUGCAAGUCGAACGGUAACAGGCCGCAAGGUGCUGACGAGUGGCGAACGGGUGAGUAAUGCAUCGGAACGUGCCCAGUCGUGGGGGAUAACUACUCGAAAGAGUAGCUAAUACCGCAUACGAUCUAUGGAUGAAAUCGGGGGACCGUAAGGCCUCGCGCGAUUGGAGCGGCCGAUGUCAGAUUAGGUAGUUGGUGGGGUAAAGGCUCACCAAGCCAACGAUCUGUAGCUGGGGUGAGAGGACGACCAGCCACACUGGGACUUAGGCACCGCCCAAACCCCUUCGGGAAGGCACAGGUGGGAAAUUUGGACAAUGGGCGCAAGCCUGAUCCAGCAAUGCCGCGUGCAGGAAGAAGGCCUUCGGGUUGUAAACUGCUUUUGUACGGAACGAAACGGCUCUGGUUAAUACCCGGGGCUAAUGACGGUACCGUAAGAAUAAGCACCGGCUAACUACGUG